GGGCCUAUAGCUCAGUCGGUUAGAGCGCACGCCUGAUAAGCGUGAGGUCAGUGGUUCAACUCCACUUAGGCCCA
This 74-nucleotide transfer RNA is filed under the name Pseudomonadota bacterium. RNAcentral describes it as "tRNA-Ile". It matches the Rfam family "tRNA". From Rfam's summary of the family: Transfer RNA (tRNA) molecules are approximately 80 nucleotides in length. The record is from RNAcentral. Lineage: Bacteria; Pseudomonadati; Pseudomonadota. RNAcentral also lists the same sequence under 3 other names.